This 776-nucleotide ribosomal RNA is filed under the name uncultured Neocallimastigales. RNAcentral describes it as "partial large subunit ribosomal RNA". It matches the Rfam family "Eukaryotic large subunit ribosomal RNA", at positions 23 to 645 of the family's 3401-position model. Lineage: Eukaryota; Fungi; Neocallimastigomycota; Neocallimastigomycetes; Neocallimastigales. The record is from RNAcentral.
AGAGAGAGACAUGCGCGCAUAUCAAUAAGCGGAGGAAAAGAAACUAACUAGGAUUCCCUCAGUAACGGCGAGUGAAGCGGGAAGAGCUCAAAUUUGAAAUCUUCAAGGUUCUACCUUGACGAAUUGUAGUUUAAAGAAGUGUUUUCUGUUGAAGUUUUGGUAAAAGUUCUUUGGAAUAGGACAUCAUAGAGGGUGAGAAUCCCGUAUUUGACCAUUAUUUCCAGCUUUGUGAUACACUUUCAAAGAGUCGGAUUGUUUGGGAAUGCAGUCCAAGAUGGGUGGUAAAUUUCAUCUAAAGCUAAAUAUUGGCGAGAGACCGAUAGCGAACAAGUACCGUGAGGGAAAGAUGAAAAGAACUUUGAAAAGAGAGUUAAACAGUACGUGAAAUUGUCAAAAGGGAAGCGUUUGACACCAGUGUUGUUUUCUCGAAAAUCAAUUAAAAAGAGUUAGGAUUUUGUUGUGUAUUGACCUUAUCAGCUUCUGCAUUUCAUUUUCUUGUCUUUUUUAAUGCACUUUUCGUUUAACAAGUCAACAUCAAUUUCUUUUGUUGUAAAAAGGGUCAUUGGAAGGUGGCUUUCUUUUCGGAGAAAGUGUUUAUAGCCUUUGGCCUCUGCAAUCGGAGAGAUUGAGGUCUGCAGCGUAGAUCCUUCGGGGUUAGAUACAUUUGUGCUAAGUUAUAGCCUUUCAUAGACAACUUGUUGACUAUGAUCAGUCAUGUAGCUUACUCGCUUAUGCUAUUUUACCUACGCUUAGGAUGUUGAUGUGAUACUGCGAGC